RNAcentral lists this long non-coding RNA (972 nucleotides) under Medicago truncatula (barrel medic). RNAcentral's name for it is "lncRNA gene16371". The stretch from base 646 to 741 matches the Rfam family "Small nucleolar RNA Z103". The record is from RNAcentral. Lineage: Eukaryota; Viridiplantae; Streptophyta; Magnoliopsida; Fabales; Fabaceae.
AUAAGAACACCUUCGCCUCUCACUCCUCUCUCAUUCUCAUUCCCCACUCAUCUCUCUCAAAGUUUAGUUUUUUCAUUCUGUUUUCGAUUUAGGGUGUUGUAUUUUUCUCUUUGGAUUGUCUUAUCAUGCGUCAAAAUACUGAUUACCAGUGCUCUAAAUCUUGUGAGCUUUGAGUAUGAGCUGACGCCAUAGCAACCCCUAUUCUGCAAUCUUUUGUGAACUGUUUUGUUUUCAAUUCAGUUCCUUUUGCAGAGUAGGAAUAAACAAAUCAUACUCUCAAUUUUACUGUAUUAUUGAAUUCUGCGCUGUAAUUUUAGUAUUUAGCUUCACUGAUUUGUUUUUUUAUCGCAUGAUUCUGUAAUUUAUUUUGUUGAAUUGCGUUUCAAUUGAAAAGUUGCAUUGUAAGGUGGAUGUGAUGAUUAUUUCCCCAGAUGAUCGAAACUGAACAUACUGUGCGAAUUUUGUUUCUCUUCGGAGAAAUCAAGCCAAAUAAUCUGAUCCAUUUUUGCACUAUGAAAUUUGUUACUCAAAAUUAUUGAUUUAUUGAUUUGUAAUAUAUACUUGCAUGUGUAUUGAAAUUUGUGUUUAUUGUUGAUGUUAGAGACUUGGAAGCUUACAAUUUUACAAUUAGUUUAUAAUUAUAAGAUGGGUGUGAUGAUUAUUUCCCCAGAUGAUCGAAACUGAACAUACUGUGCGAUUUUGUUUCUCUUUGGAGAAAUCAAGCCAAAUAAUCUGAUCCAUAAUUGCAUUCUCAACUUGUAUAGUUAAUAAUUCUUUGUAUGUAAUCCUGAGAUGCUGAUUAUUCUGUGUUUUUUUGGGAAUAUUCAUCUGUGUAUGUAUUGUUGUUUUUGUCUCUUUAUUAGGUUUUAAUUUGAUAUGGGUGUGAUGAUUAUUUCCCCAGAUGAUCGAAUCUGAACAUACUGUGCGAACUUUUUUCUCUUUAGAGAAAUCAAGCCUAAUAAUCUGAUCCUU